Molecule: ribosomal RNA, 292 nt
Filed under: uncultured bacterium
Lineage: Bacteria
Description: partial 16S ribosomal RNA
Rfam family: Bacterial small subunit ribosomal RNA
Source: RNAcentral
GUGCCAGCAGCCGCGGUAAUACGAAGGUCCCAAGCGUUAUCCGGAUUUAUUGGGUUUAAAGGGUGCGUAGGCGGACUAUUAAGUCAGUGGUGAAAUCCUGCAGCCUAACUGUAGAAUUGCCAUUGAUACUGAUGGUCUUGAGUACAUUUGAAGUGGGCGGAAUGUGUCAUGUAGCGGUGAAAUGCUUAGAUAUGACACAGAACACCGAUUGCGUAGGCAGCUCGCUAAACUGUAACUGACGCUGAGGCACGAAAGCGUGGGGAGCAAACAGGAUUAGAUACCCUGGUAGUCC